GGGAAUUCCUUGAUUAUGCUAAUACCACCUAGAGAUAGGGGUAGGACGAUCAAUUGUAUGUUGCUUCUGUUUAUCAUGCAUUAUUGGUUACUAGGGGAGACUAGAGAUAGCAAGCCAGUAAUUGGUAAUAGGCUCUUUUCGCCAAGAGAUUGGGUUUAGGGUAGACUAAGAAAGUUUGCAUGACAAUAUGAUAAAUAAGUUAAGAAAAUAAGAAGAGUAGAUAUAAGAGGGUGGAUAAGAUGAAAUUGUAAACCCCAAAUACUCCAUUCAUCCAUAGCCUUUUCUAGCCAAUUGAUUCACUACAUUUGCAUGUUUACUUUUGUUCUUUGCAUUCAAAACCGAAAAUUAAUUCUUUUCUCAAGUCUUAUGCGAUUGACUUACACCAAAGUUAAGGCCUAAGAGUCUUUUGGAAAAUGCUACUUGGACUUACCCAUUUUAUAUUACUUGAUAACAAUCUGGUACACUUGCCAGGGACUUAACACACGCCUAUGACUUUGGCUGAAAUCUGAUAGCAAACGGGGGGAGAAAGACUCGAAUUUUUCAAGUAACUUAUUAGCACAAAUAUGCAAAAGGGGUGAAAAGGGUUUUUUUUUCAAGAAGAGCGAGAGAAGGGAGAACGAAGUGGAGAAAGAAAGCCAGCUACACAGGAAAGAGGAAACAUCUGCGGGACGAGGCGAAUAAUAGUGAACGAAGCUCCAAUAGGUAAGCAACGCUUUGCAUACCUAUGUCAUCGUGUUUUAGUGACUUAAUUUUUAUACCUCAUUUUUCACUUGUUGCUGGAACACAUUUCUGCCCUGUU
This 799-nucleotide long non-coding RNA is filed under the name Vigna radiata. Its description in RNAcentral is "long non-coding RNA (VRAD_LNC016451)". The record is from RNAcentral. Lineage: Eukaryota; Viridiplantae; Streptophyta; Magnoliopsida; Fabales; Fabaceae.